This 946-nucleotide long non-coding RNA is filed under the name Mytilus galloprovincialis (Mediterranean mussel). Lineage: Eukaryota; Metazoa; Mollusca; Bivalvia; Mytilida; Mytilidae. The record is from RNAcentral.
UAUCUCAGAUGGUGCCAUUAAAACAAAAUACAUAUAUGGUUUGGCGAUAUCUGGCCACAGCUUUUAUUCAUAAUAUGAUAGAUUCAUAUAAUAUAUAAUAUAUAUAUAGAUAGAUAGACCAUAUAUGUAUAUGUAGAUAGAUCUAUGGUCGGUUACCCGAAGAUAAUAUGGCAACCAGAUAGAUAGAUAGAUAGAUAUAUAUGAAAAUGUAAAGAUGCACCGUGGGUGCUUUAAAUUUAGAAAACACCGUGGGAUACACAAGUGUAGUCUGUAUUAUCCAAAAACCUAAAAUUUCAUAGUUAACAUUAAGAUUCUAUGCAGCGAAUUCUGCCACAUUGACGGAGGAAAACAGAGACUCUGUCAACCGCCAUAAAAAGGGCGGUUCGCUGCAAAGCUGUGAACCAGAUAUGAGAUAACUACAGAUAUAUAGAUAGAUAGAUAUUUUUAUUUAACGUACAACUUGGUACAUAUAUAUAUUAAAUAAUCUAGAUAGAUAGAUAGAUAUUUUAUUUAACGUACAACUUGGUACAUAUAUAUGAUCAAUAUUCUAGAUAGCUGGAUAGAUAUUUUUAUUUAAAGUACAACUUGGUACAUAUAUAUAUAUUAAAUAAUCUAGAUGAUGUUUUGUGAACAACUGUUCAAAAACAUAUUUACCUACACAGAUAAAAAUACUUACCAAAACUACAGCAAACCAUAAGAUAGUUGAUUGUAUUUGUAUAUCAUAAAAUAUAGUAUAUUAUAGUAUAUCAACAAAUAAUAUUAAAGAUGUUUAAGAAUUCAUUUCAUAAGCAGGUUAAGGGUGACAAGUGAAAAACAUCCAGUUGAAAAAUUUCUGGUCUGAUCGAAAAUCAUAAUAUUUUAUGUAGCAACCCUGACAGCUAAUUAUAAAGGCAAUAAAUAGUUGUAAAUUCUAUAGCAGCACACGUCCAUGUUUGCAUUGGUCAAA